UUCAAUUUUUGGGAUCGUCUCUUUCCCCUGAUCAUCCUCAUACCUACCAUGUAGGACGAUUUUGCAUGAGGAGUGAUUGAUCAAGGUUUGAAGCUUUUGACGGUUCUGGUUGGAUCUGGGGUCUGAUCAGACGCACGAGAUUGAUCCAACUUCCAAGCUUGAUCUAGGACGAUCUAGACCGAAUCUCACUUAGCUCCAGGUGACUGACGAUUUUGGUUGGGUGGACGGUUGUGAUGGUGAUUUUGUGCUUGUCUUGGUUUGUGUGAAGACGCAGCAGGAUUUGGAGGCAAAGGAAUGGGGUUAUUGUGCAGGUUAGAAUAUCAGGUGAUCGUUAUCGAAGCUGAGGUGGACUUUCCGUCACGUGGUGUAGAAGGGCGCUUAUUCUUGUAGUCUUCCGCUGUGUAGUGAGUUGGUAAGAGAGGUUGCAUGUUGAAUUGAUAUUCAGUUUAAUUUGUAAACUAUUGUAAUGUAAUAUGCGACUCUAAAGAACGAGUCGGUAUUGACAUUGUGAGUUUAGCUUUUUU
RNAcentral lists this long non-coding RNA (524 nucleotides) under Rosa chinensis. RNAcentral describes it as "sRNA RchiOBHm_Chr3g0476571". Lineage: Eukaryota; Viridiplantae; Streptophyta; Magnoliopsida; Rosales; Rosaceae. The record is from RNAcentral.